AACCGGGGGGAAUUUGCCUUAGUACGGCGAGUGAAGCGGCAAAAGCUCAAAUUUGAAAUCUGGUACCUUCGGUGCCCGAGUUGUAAUUUGGAGAGGGCAACUUUGGGGCCGUUCCUUGUCUAUGUUCCUUGGAACAGGACGUCAUAGAGGGUGAGAAUCCCGUGUGGCGAGGAGUGCGGUUCUUUGUAAAGUGCCUUCGAAGAGUCGAGUUGUUUGGGAAUGCAGCUCUAAGUGGGUGGUAAAUUCCAUCUAAAGCUAAAUAUUGGCGAGAGACCGAUAGCGAACAAGUACAGUGAUGGAAAGAUGAAAAGAACUUUGAAAAGAGAGUGAAAAAGUACGUGAAAUUGUUGAAAGGGAAGGGCAUUUGAUCAGACAUGGUGUUUUGUGCCCUCUGCUCCUUGUGGGUAGGGGAAUCUCGCAUUUCACUGGGCCAGCAUCAGUUUUGGUGGCAGGAUAAAUCCAUAGGAAUGUAGCUUGCCUCGGUAAGUAUUAUAGCCUGUGGGAAUACUGCCAGCUGGGACUGAGGACUGCGACGUAAGUCAAGGAUGCUGGCAUAAUGGUUAUAUGCCGCCCGUCUUGAACCCCCGAACCA
RNAcentral lists this ribosomal RNA (592 nucleotides) under Saccharomyces cerevisiae (brewer's yeast). RNAcentral describes it as "partial large subunit ribosomal RNA". It matches the Rfam family "Eukaryotic large subunit ribosomal RNA", at positions 63 to 668 of the family's 3401-position model. Lineage: Eukaryota; Fungi; Ascomycota; Saccharomycetes; Saccharomycetales; Saccharomycetaceae. The record is from RNAcentral.